This 726-nucleotide ribosomal RNA is filed under the name uncultured beta proteobacterium. RNAcentral's name for it is "bacterial SSU rRNA". It matches the Rfam family "Bacterial small subunit ribosomal RNA", at positions 8 to 727 of the family's 1533-position model. Lineage: Bacteria; Pseudomonadati; Pseudomonadota; Betaproteobacteria. The record is from RNAcentral.
AGAGUUUGAUCCUGGCUCAGAUUGAACGCUGGCGGCAUGCCUUACACAUGCAAGUCGAACGGCAGCGCGGGUGCUUGCACCUGGCGGCGAGUGGCGAACGGGUGAGUAAUACAUCGGAACGUGCCCUAGAGUGGGGGAUAACUAGUCGAAAGAUUAGCAAAUACCGCAUACGAUCUACGGAUGAAAGUGGGGGACCGCAAGGCCUCAUGCUCCUGGAGCGGCCGAUGUCUGAUUAGCUAGUUGGUGGGGUAAUGGCCUACCAAGGCGACGAUCAGUAGCUGGUCUGAGAGGACGACCAGCCACACUGGGACCGAGACACGGCCCAGACUCCUACGGGAGGCAGCAGUGGGGAAUUUUGGACAAUGGGGGAAACCCUGAUCCAGCAAUGCCGCGUGUGUGAAGAAGGCCUUCGGGUUGUAAAGCACUUUUGUCAGGAACGAAACGGUGGGAGCUAAUACCUCCUGCUAAUGACGGUACCUGAAGAAUAAGCACCGGCUAACUACGUGCCAGCAGCCGCGGUAAUACGUAGGGUGCGAGCGUUAAUCGGAAUUACUGGGCGUAAAGCGUGCGCAGGCGGUUGUGCAAGACAGAUGUGAAAUCCCCGGGCUCAACCUGGGAAUGGCAUUUGUGACUGCACGGCUAGAGUGUGUCAGAGGGGGGUAGAAUUCCACGUGUAGCAGUGAAAUGCGUAGAUAUGUGGAGGAAUACCGAUGGCGAAGGCAGCCC